This 399-nucleotide ribosomal RNA is filed under the name uncultured Escherichia sp. RNAcentral describes it as "bacterial SSU rRNA". It matches the Rfam family "Bacterial small subunit ribosomal RNA", at positions 30 to 423 of the family's 1533-position model. The record is from RNAcentral. Lineage: Bacteria; Pseudomonadati; Pseudomonadota; Gammaproteobacteria; Enterobacterales; Enterobacteriaceae.
AUUGAACGCUGGCGGCAGGCCUAACACAUGCAAGUCGAACGGUAGCAGGAAGCAGCUUGCUGCUUCGCUGACGAGUGGCGGACGGGUGAGUAAUGUCUGGGAAGCUGCCUGAUGGAGGGGGAUAACUACUGGAAACGGUAGCUAAUACCGCAUAAUGUCGCAAGACCAAAGAGGGGGACCUUCGGGCCUCUUGCCAUCGGAUGUGCCCAGAUGGGAUUAGCUUGUUGGUGGGGUAACGGCUCACCAACGCGACGAUCCCUAGCUGGUCUGAGAGGAUGACCAGCCACACUGGAACUGAGACACGGUCCAGACUCCUACGGGAGGCAGCAGUGGGGAAUAUUGCACAAUGGGCGCAAGCCUGAUGCAGCCAUGCCGCGUGUAUGAAGAAGGCCUUCGGGU